CUCAGAUCUGUAAUCAAUGAAUUCAGCUUCAGUUUUUCUCUGAAUAAUGCUUAGUUUUUCUUUAGCUUUCUCUCUGAUUCUUUCUCUUUUGACUCAUGGUUGAGGACGAAGAUUUUCUUAUUUCAAGUAUCAACUUUUCACUUCUUUUUUUAGCAUCUAUGGAUUUUCUUUCUUUCCUUACUUUUUUUUUCUUCAAAAGUUUUGGGUGAUAUGCAUGUGAUUGCCUUGCCAUUGCUAUUAUUGUGAAUUAUUGUUAUUAUUAUUGCUUGCUUGCUUGCUGUGAAACAAGAUUUUUAUGCAUAUCACAUUGUCCUUGAUGUUUUUUUUUUAUAACAAUUAGUUUGUCUUUGUUGGAACAGAUAAAUCGAAAUUGAUAAAACACAGAAAAUUAAAGAAACCUUCUAUAAUAUGUAUUGAUAGAAUAACAGAGCACUGCUCUUUACAAUGGAGAAAAUUAAACAACGGCAAGAGACACUUUGUAUUUGACACCGAAAAGAGAAGAAAAAAGCUCCCAAGAGGUCCCCAAUGGAUCCCCUACAUUCCCCAACUAAUUCAUUAUCCAAUCCUCCCCCAUUUGGAUGCUGCCUUCCCCUAUAAAUCCCCCCACACCAGCAUCACCUUUCGCUCCCCACGCCUUCUGACUAACUUCCCCUUUUUCUUCCAUGCGCUCAUUGUAAUCUCCUCUAUCUUUAUGCUCCUUUUCCACGUCAUCCUUCUCCACCUCAGCUCUUGGGUCAGCCCCUGAACCUUCUUGAAAUUGCACUAGACUUUCUAAUUCUGGGCCAGUCCUUUGCUGCCAUGUUGGGCCUUCCCCCCUUCUAUUGUAAACAUGUUUGAUAGCCUCAACAUUACCCCCAUCCUUUCACCUUGUCCCCAAAUCUAUAAAAGUCUCCAAAUCUUCCCAUGAACUUUCGUUAAUAGGAAGGUCGAACCAGCUGACUAAAAUUUUGACUUUACCGUUAAGUAAACGACGGGCAUCUAAGAUAUCUGCAGGCUGCACUCGAAGCUCGUAGUCCUCUGCCAAACAACUAGUAAAAUUUGAAACUAGUGCUGCUGAGCUGAUAGCCUUUUUUAGCUAUGAGAGACAUGGAAAACAGAAUGAACUUUGGCAUAAUCAGGUUCAUUUGUAUGAAAAUCUCUUAAAUGGGUGUGAGGUGGUUGAAUCACAGUAAGACUAUCACUUUCUAAGUUGCAGAAUUAAAAUAAUCUUGAAGGAAUUCCCCUCCAAUCAGAAAGCCACAAAGCUUCGAUGCAGCUCGUCCGUCCAAACAAACCGAGGCUUCUUUUGGGUUGAUGGGUCCUCUUGGUUAAGAACUUUCUCAGGCUCUUCAUAAUCUUCAUCCUGAUAUUCUUCCUCCUGCGUCUUAAUCUUCUUUCUCAUUACAUGCUGUGAGAUGUUUUGGAGCUCUUCCAUUCUAACAGGUUUUACCAAAUAAUAUAAAGCUCCCAAUUUAAUUGCUUUCAUCACCAGCAUUCUGUCACUCUUUCCAGACAACACUGAAGGUGUCAAUACCAUGUAACCACGACUAUAAAGGCAAUGACGGCUAUAAGGUUGUUGAGAGAAAACAAGUUUGACAUGAUCUCCACAUGCCUGAAAUGGAUGGACUUAGCUCGGUCGACUUUGGAUGGACAUACCUAUUAUAUGUUUGUGAUAGUUUUAUAUUGUUAUCUGGAGAUAGCAUGGAAAGUUGGUGAUGAAAGGAAUGAGUCUGGGAGCUUGUGAUUAUUUGGUAAAACUCUUAGAAUUGAAGAGCUCCAAAAUAUAUGGUAGCAUGUAAUGAGGAAGAAGAUCAUGAUGAAGAUUAUGAAGAGCCUAAGAAAGGUCAUAACAAAGAGGACCCAUCAAAUCAAAAGAAGCCUCGAGCUGUGUGGAUGGUCGAGCUACAUCGGUGGUGUUUUGUGGCUGCUGUUGAUAAAUUAGGUGUUGACAAUAAGUUAUUCCCUCUUUCUCUACCAUGCAAAGCAAUUGUUAUCUUAAUUGUUAUUAAUUGCUACAAUUGGUCAAUCAAUGGAUGUUUCAGCUUUAUUUUAGCAAUACUUUUAUUAAAUAUUUGAGUAGAAACAUAGUAGUUAAUUGCGUCGUAAUAGCGCUGCGAGUCGGGCUGGUACCUUGUUGCAAGAAAUGUCAAUUUUGUCUUAAAUUUAAAUAUGUAACAAGAAAAUUUUAAGAUUUUUUUAGUUUA
Molecule: RNA transcript, 2183 nt
Organism: Gastrolobium bilobum
Lineage: Eukaryota; Viridiplantae; Streptophyta; Magnoliopsida; Fabales; Fabaceae
Exons: 5
Source: RefSeq, a predicted model, not a curated record